This 91-nucleotide transfer RNA is filed under the name Gammaproteobacteria bacterium. RNAcentral describes it as "tRNA-Ser". It matches the Rfam family "tRNA". From Rfam's summary of the family: Transfer RNA (tRNA) molecules are approximately 80 nucleotides in length. RNAcentral also lists the same sequence under 1 other name. Lineage: Bacteria; Pseudomonadati; Pseudomonadota; Gammaproteobacteria. The record is from RNAcentral.
GGAGGGGUGGCAGAGCGGUUGAAUGCACCGGUCUUGAAAACCGGCAUAGGUUAAUAGCUUAUCGAGAGUUCGAAUCUCUCCUCCUCCGCCA